Molecule: long non-coding RNA, 221 nt
Filed under: Jatropha curcas
Lineage: Eukaryota; Viridiplantae; Streptophyta; Magnoliopsida; Malpighiales; Euphorbiaceae
Description: long non-coding RNA (JCUR_LNC003175)
Source: RNAcentral
UAUUUAUUUGCAUUGAUUUUGGAUGUUUAAUUGUGCAUUGCAUUACGAUGUCUAAUUGAUUAAUAUGUCUGCAUUUGAUUGCAAUGUUUGAUUAAUUGUGUUGUGAUAUUGCUGUGCUUUGUUUGUGUGGAAUUGGGAUGAAGUGUGCCACCAUGAAUUUGUGAGGACGGUCGAUAAAGCAUGGAUCCUGAUUAUGAUGAAUUAUGAAACUGGACCGUCGG